UGGGGAAUAUUGGACAAUGGGGGGAACCCUGAUCCAGCCAUGCCGCGUGUGUGAAGAAGGCCUUAUGGUUGUAAAGCACUUUAAGCGAGGAGGAGGGUACUGGUAUUAAUACUACCAGGUACUGGACGUUACUCGCAGAAUAAGCACCGGCUAACUCUGUGCCAGCAGCCGCGGUAAUACAGAGGGUGCGAGCGUUAAUCGGAUUUACUGGGCGUGAAGCGUGCGUAGGCGGCUAAUUGAGUCGGAUGUGAAAUCCCCGAGCUUAACUUGGGAAUUGCAUUCGAUACUGGUUAGCUAGAGUGUGGGAGAGGAUGGUAGAAUUCCAGGUGUAGCGGUGAAAUGCGUAGAGAUCUGGAGGAAUACCGAUGGCGAAGGCAGCCAUCUGGCCUAACACUGACGCUGAGGUACGAAAGCAUGGGGAGCAAACAGG
This 430-nucleotide ribosomal RNA is filed under the name Pseudomonadota bacterium. RNAcentral's name for it is "Proteobacteria bacterium partial 16S ribosomal RNA". It matches the Rfam family "Bacterial small subunit ribosomal RNA", at positions 355 to 776 of the family's 1533-position model. Lineage: Bacteria; Pseudomonadati; Pseudomonadota. The record is from RNAcentral.